RNAcentral lists this ribosomal RNA (292 nucleotides) under uncultured Sphingomonas sp. RNAcentral's name for it is "partial 16S ribosomal RNA". It matches the Rfam family "Bacterial small subunit ribosomal RNA", at positions 108 to 424 of the family's 1533-position model. The record is from RNAcentral. Lineage: Bacteria; Pseudomonadati; Pseudomonadota; Alphaproteobacteria; Sphingomonadales; Sphingomonadaceae.
GCGUAACGCGUGGGAAUCUGCCCUUGGGUACGGAAUAACUCAGAGAAAUUUGUGCUAAUACCGUAUAAUGUCUUCGGACCAAAGAUUUAUCGCCCAAGGAUGAGCCCGCGUGAGAUUAGGUAGUUGGUGAGGUAAAAGCUCACCAAGCCGACGAUCUCUAGCUGGUCUGAGAGGAUGAUCAGCCACACUGGACUGAGACACGGCCCAGACUCUACGGGGAGCAGUGGGAAUAUUGGACAAUGGGCGAAAGCCUGAUCCAGCAANNCGCGUGNNUGAUGAAGGCCUUAGGGUU